CACACCCUGGGCCAGGGUGGACUCCUGCUGCGUUCCCGCUGCCACCUGGGCCUUGCACCAGACCCAGACCACGGCCUGCAUCUCAGCCUGACCCUCCAAAACCACAGCAGGCCUCGUUCAGCUGACUUCUCCGGGGCACUGGAGCUUCGUGGCUCCAAGGCUCAGCGGGUUGGCCUACUGGGCCGUGUCUCCACCUCGACUUCUCAAAGCCUGGUCCGGUUGGAGGGAAGCGUGGACAACAGAGAGGAGAAAGUGAGGCUGUCUGUGUUCCGGGCCCCAAGCUGUCUGCAGGCCUCUGUGGCCCAUGAGGAGGGGGGCAGAGAGGAGAGUGUGGUGCUGCGGGCAUGUGCCCAUGGGCGGACAGCCGAGGCGGAGGUCCUGUUCCGGGAUGGCAGGCAGCCCUCCCAGCCGCUGGGACGCCUGACCCUGCAGGCUGCCAACCAGAGUCUCCUGCUGGCCGCGCGCGGCUGCCAGGGGGGCCUG
This 483-nucleotide long non-coding RNA is filed under the name Homo sapiens (human). Its description in RNAcentral is "non-protein coding lnc-PRM1-5:2". Lineage: Eukaryota; Metazoa; Chordata; Mammalia; Primates; Hominidae. The record is from RNAcentral.